CCCCCGGCUUUGGUCACAGUGACCGCCACCGUUGCCCGGGGAUGGGUCCCUGAGACUUGGCGAAGUAGGAGCCCUGUGUGAUCGUGCGUCAGAGUCGGGGCUGAGACCAGUCCUGGCCAGGGCAGUUACCAGGACGGUCUCCGGAGGCCGGGAUGCGCGGAGGCUCCACCAGCAGGAAGAAACGCCAGGAGGAAGAAACCUGAGACAGAUCGCCGGGGACGCAGCGCGGGAUCCCAGCCUCAGGCUUGCGCGGACGGUGUGCGGCUACCCAAGGUGCGAAAAGGAAAGAAGGCCAAAGGGAAGAAGGUGGUGCCGACCCUUGCUGUCUUGAAAAAGCAGGAGACCGUGAAAGUGGUGAAUCUUCCGUUUGAGAAAUUUGGCACUGGACAGGACAUUUUGGCAUUGGACAGAACAUCCAGCCCAAAAGGCACCUCACUUGCUUUGUCAAAUGGCCCCAUUAUACUAGGUUGCAACAGCAGAGAGCCAUCCUCUAUAAGCAGCUAGAAGUGCCUUCUGUGAUUAAUCAGUUCACCAGGGCCUUGGACCACCAAACAGCUGCUCAGUGGGGUAAGCUGGCUGGCAAGUACAGACCACAGACAAAGCAAGAGAAGCAGCAGAGACUGUUGGCCUGGGCUGAGAAGAAAGCAAAGGAGACAUCCCCACUAAGAGAUCACCUGUCCUUUUAACGGGGGUUAACUCUGUCACCACCUUAGUGAAGAAAAAGAAGGCUCAGCUGGUGGUGACUGCACAGGACAUAGAUCCCAUUGAGUUGGUUGUCUUCCUGCCUGCCCUGUAUUGUAAACUGAGCGUUCCUUACUGCAUUGUCUAAUGGAAGGCAAGCUUGAGACAUCUAGGAUUAAAAAACAAACAAACGAAC
Molecule: long non-coding RNA, 877 nt
Filed under: Homo sapiens (human)
Lineage: Eukaryota; Metazoa; Chordata; Mammalia; Primates; Hominidae
Description: non-protein coding lnc-PABPC4L-21:2
Source: RNAcentral